ACUUUUGACUGGUACUGUAUAUUUAAAUAUGUUCAUGUGUUGUACAUGUAUCAUAUAUAUUUAAUUGUAUCAUAUAUCCUUAUUGAGAGCAGGGAGUUGAGGAGAUACCUGAGAAGAGUAAGAGAGCAGAGAUGACUGUGAGGAUGCUGAGACACAUGCACAGCCAGUCCCUUACCAACAUGGCUGUCUCUCAGAGACUGCUACUGGACAGAGACAGACACUCACUGUGCUGCUGUUGGGAACAGAAGAGGAGUUUCCAAGAUCUGACGCAGUAUGUAUUUCCGAGUGUUCACUCUGAUGAAGAGAAGAAGAAGAGUUGUGCUGGGAACCUCCCUCCUCUCCUUCCUCUCCCUCCUCCUCCUCCUCCGUCCUACCAGGAAUGGACCAGGAUCGACCCAGAUGAUUCAGAGGUCCCUAGCCUGGGCCUGGAAGGGCUUGGGCUGAGGACCAUACCCUCUGCUGUAAACACAGAAAUAUGUAGCAAGACUCCUGAGCCUUUAUCCAUAGAAGAUGUGUGUCAACGCAACCCUUCAGGGGUAAGAUAUUUCUCUUGACAGGCUAUAGGGUUACUGCAGUUUGGAGAAUGUUUCAG
Oncorhynchus nerka (sockeye salmon) is the source of this 592-nucleotide long non-coding RNA. RefSeq lists it as uncharacterized. The transcript is spliced from 4 exons. NCBI's taxonomy places the organism in Eukaryota, Metazoa, Chordata, Actinopteri, Salmoniformes, Salmonidae. The record is from RefSeq and is a predicted model, not a curated record.